UACGUAGGGGGCAAGCGUUGUCCGGAAUCAUUGGGCGUAAAGCGCGUGUAGGCGGCCAGAAAAGUCCGCUGUGAAAACUCGAGGCUCAACUUCGAGCUGUCGGUGGAAACUUUCUGGCUAGAGUCCGGAAGAGGAGAAUGGAAUUCCUGGUGUAGCGGUGAAAUGCGCAGAUAUCAGGAAGAACACCCGUGGCGAAGGCGGUUCUCUGGGACGGUACUGACGCUGAGGAGCGAAAGCGUGGGGAGCGAACAGG
Molecule: ribosomal RNA, 253 nt
Filed under: uncultured bacterium
Lineage: Bacteria
Description: partial 16S ribosomal RNA
Rfam family: Bacterial small subunit ribosomal RNA
Source: RNAcentral